This 84-nucleotide microRNA precursor is filed under the name Gorilla gorilla gorilla (western lowland gorilla). Its description in RNAcentral is "mir-548 microRNA precursor family". It matches the Rfam family "mir-548 microRNA precursor family". Lineage: Eukaryota; Metazoa; Chordata; Mammalia; Primates; Hominidae. The record is from Rfam by way of RNAcentral.
UCUUAGGUUGGUGCAAAAGUAAUCGUGGUUUUUGCCAUUGAAAGUAAUGGUAAAAACUGCGACUACUUUUGCACCAACCUAAUA